Molecule: ribosomal RNA, 17 nt
Filed under: uncultured fungus
Lineage: Eukaryota; Fungi
Description: 28S ribosomal RNA
Source: RNAcentral
AUUGACCUCAAAUCAGG